GCAGGAGUUGCCAAGCCUGGUCUACGGCGCUAGAAUAUGAAGCCAAUGAGCUUCAAUGGUGUGACUGAGGUUCUAGUGACAAAGGUCUUCUUCGAUGGUCUUACCACGAGGGCCAAAUCGUGGGUUCGAAUCCCACCUCCUGCA
This 144-nucleotide transfer RNA is filed under the name marine sediment metagenome. Its description in RNAcentral is "tRNA-His". It matches the Rfam family "tRNA". Rfam says of the family: Transfer RNA (tRNA) molecules are approximately 80 nucleotides in length. Their secondary structure includes four short double-helical elements and three loops (D, anti-codon, and T loops). The record is from RNAcentral.